AAAGGUGAAAUUAAUACUGUUUUAAUUUUAUUAGAACUGAAUUUAAAGCUAAUUUAUUUUGGGUUUGAACUAGGAUUAGAUACCCUAUUACACCAAAAGGUAACAUGAUAAACUUAAUUAUUUAUAGGUAUGUUCUUGAAAUUUGAAGAAUUUGGCGGUGAUUUAGUCUUGUCAGAGGAAUUUGUUUUUUAAUCGAUAAACCACGCAAAAUCUUGCUUGAGUUUAUAUACCAUCAUUAAUAGAUAAUCUUGUUAUAGAGGUAAUUAUUAAGUCUUAUGAGCAAUUAAAAUUAGAUCAAGGUGUAGCUAAUAAACAAGUUAAAAUGAAUUACAAUAAAAUUUAUUUAUAUGGAUUUGGUGAGAUAAAGGUGGAUUUGAUUGUAUGUAAGUUUAAUAAGCUUUAAAGAUAUAGGUUCUAAAUCAUGUACAUAUCGCCCGUCGCUUUC
Molecule: ribosomal RNA, 445 nt
Filed under: Heteropanope glabra
Lineage: Eukaryota; Metazoa; Arthropoda; Malacostraca; Decapoda; Pilumnidae
Description: partial 12S small subunit ribosomal RNA
Source: RNAcentral